UUCUCUUAGUCGGGCUGGCGACUUAAAACUAGCGCUGCAUGGGAGGCAACCCAUGUUUUCUUGCUUUUUCUUGUUUCGUUUUUCUUUCGUUUUGUUUGUGUUGUGUUUUGUUGCUUCUGCUGUUUGGUGCAGGUUGUUGCGUUGGAGACUGCUUGUUCUAUGGAUAAGAGAGAGGCAGACAUCGUGGGACACUACAGACUCACCACUGGAUCGGUAUUUAGGGAAGUUUCCUCUUUCACCCCUCUUUUUGUUUGCACUGAGGACAGUGCCAGAUUUUAAGUGGGG
Molecule: long non-coding RNA, 285 nt
Filed under: Salvia miltiorrhiza (redroot sage)
Lineage: Eukaryota; Viridiplantae; Streptophyta; Magnoliopsida; Lamiales; Lamiaceae
Description: long non-coding RNA (SMIL_LNC004096)
Source: RNAcentral